RNAcentral lists this ribosomal RNA (492 nucleotides) under uncultured bacterium. RNAcentral's name for it is "partial 16S ribosomal RNA". It matches the Rfam family "Bacterial small subunit ribosomal RNA", at positions 29 to 507 of the family's 1533-position model. The record is from RNAcentral.
AGUGAACGCUGGCGGUAGGCCUAACACAUGCAAGUCGAACGGCAGCACAGUAAGAGCUUGCUCUUACGGGUGGCGAGUGGCGGACGGGUGAGGAAUACAUCGGAAUCUACUUUUUCGUGGGGGAUAACGUAGGGAAACUUACGCUAAUACCGCAUACGACCUACGGGUGAAAGCAGUGGAUCUUCGGACCUUGCGCGAUUGAAUGAGCCGAUGUCGGAUUAGCUAGUUGGCGGGGUAAAGGCCCACCAAGGCGACGAUCCGUAGCUGGUCUGAGAGGAUGAUCAGCCACACUGGAAAUGAGACACGGUCCAGACUCCUACGGGAGGCAGCAGUGGGGAAUAUUGGACAAUGGGCGCAAGCCUGAUCCAGCCAUACCGCGUGGGUGAAGAAGGCCUUCGGGUUGUAAAGCCCUUUUGUUGGGAAAGAAAAGCAGCAGGUUAAUACCCCGCUGUUCUGACGGUACCCAAAGAAUAAGCACCGGCUAACUUCGUG